Molecule: RNA transcript, 574 nt
Organism: Gopherus flavomarginatus (Mexican gopher tortoise)
Lineage: Eukaryota; Metazoa; Chordata; Testudines; Testudinidae
Gene name: translation machinery-associated protein 7-like
Exons: 5
Source: RefSeq, a predicted model, not a curated record
GGGUCUCUACAAAGCUAGUGUCCCCUUUUCUCCUACUGGCCCCUAGGGUUCGCUCUAAUGCGACUAGAGGCUGAGCCCGUCCCAUUUCCCGGAUCAGCCCCAGAGGAAACAGACUUGCUUGGCUUUGUGUUCCCGCCGCCCUUUCGUGCGUGGCUCUGGGGCGGUAAGAAGAAACCUCUGAAGCAACCGAAGAAACAGGCAAAGGACAUGGACGAGGAAGAUUUGGCCUUCAAGCAAAAACAGAAGGCAGAGCAGAAGAAACUUGAGGAGCUGAAGACCAAAGCUUCUGGGAAAGGCCCCCUUACACAUAUGCAACAUGCCUCAGGUGGCACAUGACCAGGAUUCAUCACCGAAUUUGGUCUGCUGGUUGGAUUGUUAGCUUCCUUGGUCCCAGCCAGCUGGUGGUGGCAUCAAGAAGUCUGGCAAAAAGUAGUUACAUGCGGUAGAAGAAGCAGUCUGCUCCCAUUGGUUGCUUGUCUAUGCAAUGGAUCUGUAGAUUCAUGUAGUCAAGAAAAUUCACUGUCAUUUGAGCACCUUGUACAUUUUGCUCAGUCAAAAUAAAUUGUUUUGUUAA